GGAUGAAUAGCUCAAUGGCAGAGCGUUCCGUUGUUAACGGAAGGGUUGAAAGUUCGAGCCUUUCUUCAUCCG
RNAcentral lists this transfer RNA (72 nucleotides) under Williamsia sp. Its description in RNAcentral is "tRNA-Asn". It matches the Rfam family "tRNA". From Rfam's summary of the family: Transfer RNA (tRNA) molecules are approximately 80 nucleotides in length. Their secondary structure includes four short double-helical elements and three loops (D, anti-codon, and T loops). The record is from RNAcentral. Lineage: Bacteria; Bacillati; Actinomycetota; Actinomycetes; Mycobacteriales; Nocardiaceae.